Molecule: long non-coding RNA, 4345 nt
Filed under: Nicotiana benthamiana
Lineage: Eukaryota; Viridiplantae; Streptophyta; Magnoliopsida; Solanales; Solanaceae
Description: long non-coding RNA (NBEN_LNC034471)
Source: RNAcentral
GUUGCUUUCACAAAAUAAUACCAAAAAUACUCAACAUAAGUUAGUUGCACCGUACAUCAAUGAUAUAAGCUAGUCACAAUAGUGUUCAUAAACAUUUAGCAAAAAAUUACAUAUCACUAAUAUCUCUCGAUUGUAAUGUAAACUUUUCUUCAAAUUCCCAGCAAAAUAAUGGCUAAUCUGCAUGUUAUCAAAAAUGUGCUUCUAGUAAACUUCAAUAUCCAAAACCUGUAGAAGAAAUAAGAAAUUUUAGUUAGAUUGACUGAAUGCAAAUCUCUCAAGUAUCAGUAAGGCAAGUAGGCAUACUAAAAGAUGUCACAUUUGACAAGUAAUUUAGGAGUGAACUCAGCCAACAGAUACAAUAUUUGAACUCAGCUACUAAAAGAUGUCACAUUAGACAACUCAGCCAACAAAGGGAAUAAGCAAUAAUCUGUAGCCAUUGUAUUUGAGGCUUAAGUGCUGUUGAAUGCUUUUACUUGAGUUUAUGCUCAAAAUAAGGACUGUUUAGUUACACCUAAUUGCUUGAUUUUCCUGAAUCUUCAUUCCUCAGGCAGAUUGAUUGUCUUGAACAACUUACUAGGGGUUGCAAAGAUUGUGGACUGAUGGACACACAGAUUUCUUGAUAAAUGCCAUGCGGAAGAACCUUUUCAAAUGCAUAUUGUAUGAACACUAAUGAAAAUUAAGCCAACAUCUUCAGUGCCGAUAUGGAGCUUCACUGUGUGGUAGACGUAUGUCAGUUUCAGCAAUAAUCAUCAAUGGAGAGAAACUAAUAAUUGCAAAUAUAGGUGAAUACAAAGUAGUGGUAUGCAAAGACGGCGAAGCUUUCGAAAUCAACAGAAGGCAACAGCAUACAACAAAGUCACAUUGGUCACAUAAACUAUUUCCAGGCAUGAUAAUAUAUCAUCCUUUUACCCGUCGUUGUGAAUUUUCAUUUGAUUUAGAGACUAUAGCUGAGUUGAUUCUUUUUGGUUCGUAUCAGUUGUCGUCAAACGCUUACCUAAAGUAAGACGCACAGCCUUAGAUUCUGGAUAGGGAGUUGCAGCUAAUAAGCCUUCUAAAAGCUCAGAACUUGCUGUUGGCUGUAAAUUGAUCGCGAUAUUGAUUUUGUGUACUGAUCUUUAAACACUUAGUUUAAAUUGUAAUUUCUUCAUUAUCAACUGAUAAAUUUUUGAAGACAUUUGCAAACAUCUUUUAUAUUUAAUAUUUAAAAGUAAAAAGAAUUGUAGUGGCCACACAUACUAAACUCUCCAGGAUGACAUUACAAUUCAAAUAUUACGUGCUAGGCGCUUCCCAUUGGGACAUGUAGUCCAAGUAGAGUUGGCAGGGCAGCUCUCCUGUUGAAUCAGAAUUGACCCAGUUUCAGAAGGACAUAGCGCCGAGUUUAAUCAGAAUUGAUCCUUUGAGAAAAUGAAGGCAUAGGUAGAUUUGGGUGGUGUAGUCUCAGAUUGCCUUCCGUAUUUAUCUUAUGUCUCUUUUUCUUCCUUCUCGGCUUCUUCGACUCUGCUCCCUUCUCUCACCAGGUCUCUUCUCUUUUAUUUAUUUAUAUAUUGUCAACCAGUAAUAUUUGAAUUGCAUGUUAUAAAAAUAUAGCUUUAAGAUACUGACAAUAGUAACACACAUUAUAUAUAACUUACAGUAAUAUUAGAACUCUAAGUUACUUCUGGUUGUCAAGAAGAUAACAAAAGUUACUUACAGUAGUAACUUACAGUUCUACUAUUACUGCAAGUGUUACAUGGGUUAUUUUGAGGGUAUCAUUGAUACUCUGAAAGAAGUAGAAACUCUCUACACAUUUUGGACUUUUUUGUUUUGUUUACAGCACUUAGCUUAGUUUUAUUGUGCAUCUAUACAUUAGAUAGAUGGUUUGAUGGAGUUUGUUGGAUCCUUUCACUUUUGGGUAGGGACCUACAGUUUUUUGUUCUCUCUUUCGUAAAUGUUUACGUCAACACUUGCUUGUUUUGUUUUAUUCAUUUAAAUUAUCCUUUAUAGUCACUAAGAAUAAAAAUAGGAAUCAACAUGGUUUCUGUUAACUAUAUGUAGUAGAUUGACUGAACCAUGUUGUGUGUUAUAUACUGUGGUCUUCUCAUCUUAGGUCCUUUAUUGGACUGUGCAUGAGUGUGGUUAUUAGUGAUGGCUAACCAGCAACAAAAACAACAACAACCCAGUAUAAUCCCACUUAGUGGAGUCUGGGGAGGGUAGUGUGUACGCAGANNNNNNNNNNNNNNNNNNNNNNNNNNNNNNNNNNNNNNNNNNNNNNNNNNNNNNNNNNNNNNNNNNNNNNNNNNNNNNNNNNNNNNNNNNNNNNNNNNNNNNNNNNNNNNNNNNNNNNNNNNNNNUCCAAAUAGACCCCCGGCAUCCUUCCCUCCAAGAACUUCCCACCUUGCUCUUGGAGAGACUCGAACUCACAACCUCUCGGUUGGAAGCGGGGGUUGCAUACCAUCAGAGCAACCCCAGUUAUAUAAAUAUUACUGGUUGCUGCAGAUGAAUUGAAGAAUAUGUCAAAAGAGGUAGAACUAGCAGAUGUUGCUGCAGUAAGUGCUUGGAACGACUCUGAAGUAGGGAGUAUGAUUGGGAAGAAAGGUGUUGUGAACCUUGAAGAGGGGAAAAGUGCUGAAAACAGUCUCCGUGUGGUUGAAGGAAUGCAAUUUGACCGUGGUUACAUCUCACCAUACUUCAUUACUGACAGUGAGAAAAUGUCCGUUGAAUAUAACAACUGUAAGUUACUACUGGUUGACAAGAAGAUGACAAAUGCAAGAGAUCUUGUUGGUGUCCUGGAAGAUGCUAUCAGAAAUGGUCACCCAAUUUUAAUUAUUGCCAAAGAUAUUGAGCAAGAAGCACUAGCCACCCUUGUUGUCAAUAAGCUAAGGGGUGCUUUAAAGGCUGCUGCCCCCUGAUUUUGGCGAACCAGGAAUCAAUCACAUGUUGCACGGCAAAAGCAUAAGUAGAAAAUAAUUAGGAAUAGAACACACUGAAGUAAUAAUAAUUACAUUGGUUUGGAACACGGAAUUUAAUCAGGACAUACCACCAACAAAGGGAGCACAUAAGAAUGAAGAGAAAAGUAUAAGCACAAUGUUAGCCUUAGCUUACAGCCGGCUAAUAAUAAGCAGGAGCAUGGAGCAACAACAGAGCAAAAGAGAGAAGUAAACACAAGAGAGAGAGCAAUGCUAUUAUUGUGUGUGUGUGUUUGUGAUGUGCAAUGUGUUGGUGUGUCAUGCAAAAGAGAAUGGGGGUACUUAUUUUAUUGAAUACGAGUGAACCAACAAGGUAACAAUCCCUAAUUAAGGGACUGACAUCAAUCGUAAUCAAAUUACUAUAUGGACUCCCCUUUAAUUAAGGAAUCAAAGUCAAAUUAUAAUAAAUAGUUAUUUAAAAGGAAAGAAAUCACGAAGCAUGGUAUGAUCACAUAAUAAAACAGAAUAGCAUAAAGUAUGCAACAAAGACUAGGUACAUGAUACUCUAAUUCGGAAAAUAGGUUAGGCAAAUUAAUCAAUAUAUUUGUGCACAUAUAUAGGAAAAAAAACAACUUUAAUUCUGGAAAUAAGCUUUCAAAAUAAUGAACAAGAUUGAAAACCUAAGAGAUCAGUAUUAAUCAAGGAAAGUAUCCUGCAGAUUGAGGAAGAAAUUCGAAAUCAAUACCAAACUAUAAGAAGAAUACAAAAAAUCACAUCUUUUAAGGAAAGUAUAACAGUCUUAAAGAGGGCUUGUAAGAAUCAGAUAAAAUCACCAUGUAAUCAAUCAGAGGAACCUUAAGAGAAGAACACAGAAUGAUAGGGGAAUGAAACACUAAUAACAAAAAUAAAGCAAAGAGCACAAAACUCAGAGAAGAACCCAGAAGAACACACAAACAAGCAAAUAAUACAAACACAAACAUAUAAAGCUAGGGUUUCAUAAAGAGAUUUCAAAAAGGGGUUCAAAAAUAGAGAGUAGUGCUAAACAUAAAGGCGUGAUUAAAAAACAAUUAAACAAUACAGAGAUUUAAGAGGUCUGGGUCGAGAUUAGGGUUUCAUAAGAAACCAGUAAGAGAAGUAAGAGAAACCUGGUAAUGAAACUUUAGGAAUAGUGGUGUUUAUAGCACCAUCAGAACACAACACAUAUAGCACCAUCUGAACACAACCCAUCGGAGAAAGGCCAGAAACAAACCCAGGAAAAGCUUCAGUGACCAUCUUGUAUAGUAAAUACUCCUGGAGUCUCAGGGAUGGAGGGCACAGGUAAGAUAAGGCUUCAAGGCGGCUGGUGGUCGAAAGAGGCGAGGCUGGAGGUGGCCGGAGAGAUGGUGAAGGCCAUCAGAGAAGAAGAACCAGAAAGUUCUAGAGAGAAGGAGGAGAGGAAGAGACAGAUAGAGAGAGAGACC